CGAACGCUGGCGGCGUGCUUAACACAUGCAAGUCGAACGCGAAAGGGACUUCGGUCCUGAGUAAAGUGGCGCACGGGUGAGUAACGCGUAGAUAACCUGUCUUCAUGUCUGGAAUAAUACGCCAAAGGGGGUACUAAUACCGGAUAUUCUUGCUUUUCAUAAGUUAUGCAAGCAAAGGUGGCCUCUGCAUAUGCUACUGCAUGAAGAGGGGUCUGCGUACCAUUAGCUAGUAGGUGGGGUAAUGGCCUACCUAGGCGACGAUGGUUAGCGGGUCUGAGAGGAUGAUCCGCCACACUGGCACUGGAACACGGGCCAGACUCCUACGGGAGGCAGCAGUGAGGAAUAUUGCGCAAUGGGGGAAACCCUGACGCAGCGACGCCGCGUGAGUGAGGAAGGCCUUCGGGUCGUAAAGCUCUGUCAAGAGGAAAGAAGUGUACAAUGGCUAAUACCUGUUGUAUUUGACGGUACCUCUAAAGGAAGCACCGGCUAACUCCGUGCCAGCCGCGGC
Molecule: ribosomal RNA, 508 nt
Filed under: uncultured bacterium
Lineage: Bacteria
Description: bacterial SSU rRNA
Rfam family: Bacterial small subunit ribosomal RNA
Source: RNAcentral